This 550-nucleotide ribosomal RNA is filed under the name Ephemerella sp. OPU_BS_E2016-86. RNAcentral's name for it is "bacterial SSU rRNA". It matches the Rfam family "Eukaryotic small subunit ribosomal RNA", at positions 620 to 1119 of the family's 1831-position model. Lineage: Eukaryota; Metazoa; Arthropoda; Insecta; Ephemeroptera; Ephemerellidae. The record is from RNAcentral.
UAAAAAGCUCGUAGUUGGAUCUGUGUAUCGGACGGUCGGUUCGCCGCUCGCGGCGUUUAACUGACCGGUCCGGACGUCCUGCCGGUGGGCGCGCGGGGCCCUUCGCGGGGUCCUCGUCGUCCGUUAACCUUCCCUUCGGGCUGCUCUUAACCGAGUGGUCCGGUGGGCCGGCACGUUUACUUUGAACAAAUUUGAGUGCUCAAAGCAGGCCUCGAGUCGCCUGAAAACUGUGUGCAUGGAAUAAUGGAAUAGGGCCUCUUUUCUAUUUUGUUGGCUUUUUUCUGAAAUAGAGGUAAUGAUUAAUAGGGACAGACGGGGGCAUUCGUAUUGCGACGUUAGAGGUGAAAUUCUUGGAUCGUCGCAAGACGGACGGAUGCGAAAGCGUUUGCCAAGAAUGUUUUCGCUAAUCAAGAACGAAAGUUAGAGGUUCGAAGGCGAUCAGAUACCGCCCUAGUUCUAACCAUAAACGAUGCCAGCCAGCGAUGCGCCGACGUUCCUCCGAUGACUCGGCGCGCAGCUUCCGGGAAACCAAAGCUUUUGGGUUCCGGGG